Molecule: small RNA, 29 nt
Filed under: Bombyx mori (domestic silkworm)
Lineage: Eukaryota; Metazoa; Arthropoda; Insecta; Lepidoptera; Bombycidae
Description: ovarian small RNA-14870
Source: RNAcentral
CUGACGGCAGUCGGCAUGCAGGCGGGUCU